CCUGCCCCUCCGCAGCCUCCCGGCUCCGGGGGAAACAUCGCCGGUAGCGUUUCGGCGGCCUGAUUUUGCAAAACGAGGGACCACGAGGGCGGCCCCCCCCCCAAAAGCCGGCCCCGCGGGGCCUCCGGGGCGCGCGGGAAAGCACAGCCUUGUCCCCCCUCGGGCCCCGGCGCCCGGCGUGUCACCGCUCUCCUUCCCUCCGCUUCCAGUGCGUGUGUACACCCGUAUAUAAAUACAUAUAUAUAUAUAUAAAKAAAGAAAGAAAAUCCCAAACUCUGAUUAAAAUCCCCUUUUUCUUAUUCACCUGCCCAUCUUUCCUCUGCCUCCAUCUCCCCUUCCAUGCAAACUCAUAAUUAAUCGCUCAAGGCAAAAGUAAUGAAUGUUAAUUGGCCAUCUGUACAAAGACUAAUUAAAAUCUACCAUGCUGGGGAUUAAAACAUACCUAUAGCAACUGCCUGAAUUGAGAAUGAGACAGAGGAGAGAUUGAGAAAACAGCUGAAAGGCUUGUGCGGAGCGCGGCCGCGCUUAGGUGCGAGAUGAGCUGCGGCUCGGCGAGCUGAGAUGCUUUAUUAGGAAAAAAAAAGGAAAAAAAAGGGGAAAAAAAGAAAAAAAGAAAAAAAAAGGAAAAGAAAAGGGGGUGGGGAAGAAAGUUCGCCGCCGGGAGCUGUUUUCACGGGAAUAAAGGGCCGCGGGAGGUUCCCAAGGCGAAGCGACUCCCUCCGGACCCCAACGUUGAGGGUUUGGCUGGGACGAGGACCGAACGCGUCCCGAGGGGCUCCGGCCCCGCCGCCCCCGGGCAGGAGACGGUGGCGGGGGGCUGCGGGGCUCCGCUCCGCUCUUGUUUUCGCAGCUCCGGCUGUGUUUACUCCCAACACGGGUGACCGCCGUGGCCCUAUUACCGGCGCGGCUGACAGCUCGGCUGACGAGCGCGCGCGCGGCGGGAAUGCGAAUGCGGCGCGGUCCCCGCAGGAGAGCGCGGAGAGAAGGAGACCYGGCUGCAGCGCUGCCUCCUUCCAGCCCCCCCCGAGCUUUUAUUUGGUGGAGGAUGUUUGCAGCGAUGUCGCUGCUCCGGUGCAAAUCCCUUGUGUAAACACCCCGCGCUGGCUGCGAGAGGAUCAGAGCGGCUUUACAUGCUCCCUCGCAUGCUCCCGGGGGCUCUGGUGCUGUGCCGAGAGUGAGGAGCGCAGGGAGCUGCCGUUAGAAGGCCACGCGCGAGCAAGUGUUCAGUCUCGGGGAGACAGCGCUGCGGUGUUGUUCCUUUCGGCUUGUGGUGCACCUGGGGGGUGCACCAGGGAGAAGAGGGGUCCCCCGGGUCCUUCCGCGCUGCCCUCCAGCGUGGUCCCCACGCCGGGCCUGGCCGGGGGUGGCCAGCGCCGAGGGACCCGUCUCGCCCGCAGGCAGCCCUGUGCCGGCACCACUUUGCAGAGCGCUCGGGGAUGGGACGGGAAAGGGGACAAGGAAAGGAGAGGAAAGAGGGAAGGAAGAAAGGAAAAGAAAAUGAAAAGAAAAGAGCUAAAAAAAAACAGCGAGGCUCAGACGUGA
This 1542-nucleotide long non-coding RNA is filed under the name Dromaius novaehollandiae (emu). Its description in RNAcentral is "lncRNA (ENSDNVG00000001892.1)". The record is from RNAcentral. Lineage: Eukaryota; Metazoa; Chordata; Aves; Casuariiformes; Dromaiidae.